CAGAUGGGUUAGUAUUAUAGGUGUGGUACUAGACAGAUGGGUUAGUAUUAUAGGUGUGGUACUAGACAGAUGGGUUAGUUAUAUAGGUGUGGUACUAGACAGAUGGAUUAGUAUUAUAGGUGUGGUACUAGACAGAUGGAUUAGUAUUAUAGGUGUGGUACUGGACAGAUGGGUUAUGGGUAGUAUUAUAGGUGUGGAACUAGACAGAUGGGUUAGUAUUAUAGGUGUGGUACUGGACAGAUGGGUUAGUAUUAUAGGUGUGGUACUAGACAGAUGGGUUAUGGGUAGUAUUAUAGGUGUGGUACUGGACAGAUGGGUUAGUAUUAUAGGUGUGGUACUGGACAGAUGGGUUAGAAUUAUAGGGGUGGUACUGGACAGAUGGGUUGGUAUUAUAGGUGUGGUACAAGACAGAUGGUUUAUGGGUAGUACUAAAGGUGUGGUAAUAGACAGAUGGGUUAUGGGUAGUAUUAUACGUGUGGUACUGGACAGAUGGGUUAGUAUUAUAGGAAUGGUACUAGACAGAUGGGUUAGUAUUAUAGGUGUGGUACUAGACAGAUGGGUUAGUAUUAUCGGUGUGGUACUAGACAGAUUUGGUUAGUUAUAUAGGUGUGGUACUAGACAGAUUUGGUUAGUAUUAUAGGUGUGGAACUGGACAUAUGGUUUGGUAUUAUAGGUGUGGUACUGGACAGAAGGGUUAGUACUACAGUUGUGGUACUAGAAAGAUGGGUUAUGGUAGUAUUAUAGGUGUGGUACGAGACAGAUGGGUUAGUAUUAUAGGUGUGGUACUAGACAUAUGGGUUAGUUAUAUAGGUGUGGUACUAGACAGAUGGAUUAGUAUUAUAGGUGUGGUACUAGACAGAUGGAUUAGUAUUAUAGGUGUGGUACUGUACAGAUGGGUUAUGGGUAGUAUUAUAGGUGUGGUACUGGACAGAUGGGUUAGUAUUAUAGGAAUGGUACUAGACAGAUGGGUUAGUAUUAUAGGUGUGGUACUAGACAGAUGGGUUAGUAUUAUAGGUGUGGUACUAGACAGAUGGGUUAGUUAUAUAGGUGUGGUACUAGA
This 1060-nucleotide long non-coding RNA is filed under the name Salmo salar (Atlantic salmon). Its description in RNAcentral is "lncRNA (ENSSSAG00000119055.1)". Lineage: Eukaryota; Metazoa; Chordata; Actinopteri; Salmoniformes; Salmonidae. The record is from RNAcentral.